AAAAAAAAAAAAACAAGAGUAAUGUUAGACAUCAUAAAGCUGAUUCUUGAUUCUGAAAACAUAAAAAAAAGUAAGCAAUUUUUGUAAAAAUGAGCAAAACGUUAUAGGAGCAUGCUAUAUUUUUUUAUAAUGGCUACAUGAGAACCUGCAGAUUGCUUGCUUAAAAUAAACUAGCCUUAAAUAGGAAGAAACGUACAGCAGGGGAU
This 206-nucleotide unclassified non-coding RNA is filed under the name Hevea brasiliensis (rubber tree). The record is from RNAcentral. Lineage: Eukaryota; Viridiplantae; Streptophyta; Magnoliopsida; Malpighiales; Euphorbiaceae.